CCUACGGGAGGCAGCAGUAGGGAAUAUUGCUCAAUGGGGGAAACCCUGAAGCAGCAACGCCGCGUGGAGGAUGAAGGUUUUCGGAUUGUAAACUCCUUUUGUUAGAGAAGAUAAUGACGGUAUCUAACGAAUAAGCACCGUCUAACUCCGUGCCAGCAGCCGCGGUAAUACGGAGGGUGCAAGCGUUACUCGGAAUCACUGGGCGUAAAGAGGGCGUAGGCGGGAUAGCAAGUCAGAUGUGAAAUCCUAUGGCUUAACCAUAGAACUGCAUUUGAAACUGUUAUUCUAGAGUAUGGGAGAGGUAGGUGGAAUUCUUGGUGUAGGGGUAAAAUCCGUAGAGAUCAAGAGGAAUACUCAUUGCGAAGGCGACCUGCUAGAACAUAACUGACGCUGAUGCGCGAAAGCGUGGGGAGCAAACAGGAUUAGAUACCCCUGUAGUC
This 440-nucleotide ribosomal RNA is filed under the name uncultured bacterium. RNAcentral describes it as "partial 16S ribosomal RNA". It matches the Rfam family "Bacterial small subunit ribosomal RNA", at positions 338 to 795 of the family's 1533-position model. The record is from RNAcentral.